RNAcentral lists this non-coding RNA (30 nucleotides) under Rattus norvegicus (Norway rat). Lineage: Eukaryota; Metazoa; Chordata; Mammalia; Rodentia; Muridae. The record is from RNAcentral.
UGUAGGUGAUUUUCGUGACCCUGGGGCUGC